RNAcentral lists this ribosomal RNA (207 nucleotides) under uncultured bacterium. RNAcentral's name for it is "partial 16S ribosomal RNA". It matches the Rfam family "Bacterial small subunit ribosomal RNA", at positions 568 to 774 of the family's 1533-position model. The record is from RNAcentral.
UUCGUAGGGGGCUGUGCGUGUCUGAUGUGAAAUCUCAAGGCUCAACCUUGAAACUGCAUUGGAAACUGUACGGCUAGAGUAUCGGAGAGGUAAGCGGAAUUCCUGGUGUAGCGGUGGAAUGCGUAGAUAUCAGGAAGAACACCGACGGCGAAGGCAGCUUACUGGACGAUAACUGACCCUGAGGAACGAAAGCUAGGGGAGCGAACA